Molecule: non-coding RNA, 353 nt
Organism: Oryctolagus cuniculus (rabbit)
Lineage: Eukaryota; Metazoa; Chordata; Mammalia; Lagomorpha; Leporidae
Source: RefSeq, a predicted model, not a curated record
CAAGGAGUGUCAAGAGACUCAAUGACUGAACACUGGGCCACCUACAGCUGCCUCAAUCCGGAAGCCCGCGAUGGAGAGCCAGGGGAGAUGUCACGGAGGUACUGUGUCAUCCUCAGCCAUGCUGGCCCUGUGAGCUGCCAGCCUUCUCUCACAUUGCUUCUGGUUCACUUGGAGACCACACAGCUGGUUUCUGAGAGUGAGGCUGGGGAGGCUUCCAAAAUAGCUAUAGAUGUUGGUUUCCGCCAUACCGAUGCUUCUUAUGUGUAUCAAAAUGAAGGGGAAGUAGGUCUUGCCAUCCAAACAAGAUUGCAGAUGGCACUAUGAAGAGAGAAUAUGUAUUCUACAUUUAAAAG